Molecule: ribosomal RNA, 887 nt
Filed under: Parasarocladium breve
Lineage: Eukaryota; Fungi; Ascomycota; Sordariomycetes; Hypocreales; Sarocladiaceae
Description: eukaryotic LSU rRNA
Rfam family: Eukaryotic large subunit ribosomal RNA
Source: RNAcentral
UUGACCUCGGAUCAGGUAGGGAUACCCGCUGAACUUAAGCAUAUCAAUAAGCGGAGGAAAAGAAACCAACAGGGAUUGCCUCAGUAACGGCGAGUGAAGCGGCAACAGCUCAAAUUUGAAAUCUGGCCUUCGGGUCCGAGUUGUAAUUUGCAGAGGAUGCUUUUGACGAGGUGGCGACCGAGUGCCCUGGAACGGGCCGCCGUAGAGGGUGAGAGCCCCGUAUGGUCGCACUGCCGAGUCUCUGUAAAGCUCCUUCAACGAGUCGAGUAGUUUGGGAAUGCUGCUCUAAAUGGGAGGUGUAUGUCUUCUAAAGCUAAAUACCGGCCAGUGACCGAUAGCGCACAAGUAGAGUGAUCGAAAGGUGAAAAGAACUUUGAAAAGAGAGUUAAAAAGUACGUGAAAUUGUCAAAAGGGAAGCAUUUAUGACCAGACUUGGGCGUGGUUGAUCAUCCGGCGUUCUCGCCGGUGCACUCUGCCCGCCUAGGCCAGCAUCAGUUCGCCUCGGGGGAGAAAGGCUUCGGGAAUGUAGCUCCUUCGGGAGUGUUAUAGCCCGUUGCGUAAUGCCCUGGGGUGGACUGAGGUCCGCGCUCGCGCUUGGAUGUUGGCAUAAUGGUCAUCAAUGACCCGUCUUGAAACACGGACCAAGGAGUCGUCUUCGUAUGCGAGUGUUCGGGUGUCAAACCCCUACGCGAAAUGAAAGUGAACGCAGGUGGGAGCUUCGGCGCACCACCGACCGAUCCUGAUGUUCUCGGAUGGAUUUGAGUAAGAGCAUACGGGGCCGGACCCGAAAGAAGGUGAACUAUGCCUGUGUAGGGUGAAGCCAGAGGAAACUCUGGUGGAGGCUCGCAGCGGUUCUGACGUGCAAAUCGAUCGUCAAACAUGGGCAU